AAUAAAUGAGCAAGAAAUUAAAUUGCAUUAAAGUAAAUUGCAAGAAUUAAAUGCUUGAAUUUAAAGUUAGUAAUUAGUAAUUUGUGCUAGUGUGCCAUAAGGCAAUUUAGCGCUAUGUUAAGCAAUCGUAAGUGGACUAAUGUAGUAGUCUCACCUAUUUGAGGCCGGUCAAUAAAACUAUAGGCAAAUAAACAUAAGUUAGAGACCAUGAUUAGUAAGCCAAGAUCCUACAACUUG
RNAcentral lists this long non-coding RNA (237 nucleotides) under Lathyrus oleraceus (garden pea). RNAcentral describes it as "Pisum sativum (pea) long non-coding RNA (PSAT_LNC017560)". Lineage: Eukaryota; Viridiplantae; Streptophyta; Magnoliopsida; Fabales; Fabaceae. The record is from RNAcentral.